AACCUAGCACACCUGCGGUGUGUACCUGCGGAAGGAUCAUUACCGAGUUUACAACUCCCAAACCCCUGUGAACAUACCUAUAAUUUGCCUCGGCGGACUCAACGACGGUGCUCCGAGAAAUCGGGCGCCGCUCGCUGCCAGAGGAACCCCAAACUCUAUGUAUUCUUGUGGAUCUUCUGAGUAAAACAAAACAAAUAAAUCAAAACUUUUAACAAUGGAUCUCAGAUCGGAAGAGCACAC
Molecule: unclassified non-coding RNA, 240 nt
Filed under: soil metagenome
Description: partial contains 5.8S ribosomal RNA, internal transcribed spacer 2, and large subunit ribosomal RNA
Source: RNAcentral